Molecule: ribosomal RNA, 492 nt
Filed under: uncultured bacterium
Lineage: Bacteria
Description: partial 16S ribosomal RNA
Rfam family: Bacterial small subunit ribosomal RNA
Source: RNAcentral
ACUCAAAUGAAUUGACGGGGACCCGCACAACCUGUGGAGCGUGUGGUUCAAUUCGAGACAAAACGAAGAACCUCACCAAGGUUUGACAUACUACCGUACAUUUCCCUAGAAAUAGGGAGAAAUCCGUAAGGAUGGUAGUACAGGUGCUGCAUGGCUGUCAUCAGUUCGUGCCGUGAGGUGUUCCCUUAAGUGGGGAAACGAACGCAACCCGCGCCAAAUGUUAAAUAUUCAUUUGGGACUAUCCUGUAAUUUUUACAGGGGGGAAGGAGCGGCAGAUGUCAAGUCAGCACGGCCCUUAUACCUUGGGCAACACACACACUACAAUGGCGAAUAACAACGUGCAGCAAGCCGGCGACGGCAAGCAAAUCACUUAAAUUUCGCCUCAGUUCAGAUUGGAGUCUGCAACUCGACUCCAUGAAGCCGGAAUAGGUAGUAAUCGCAGAUCAGCAAGCUGCGGUGAAUACGUUCUCGGGUCUUGUACACACCGCCCGU